RNAcentral lists this long non-coding RNA (848 nucleotides) under Ananas comosus (pineapple). RNAcentral describes it as "long non-coding RNA (ACOM_LNC012302)". Lineage: Eukaryota; Viridiplantae; Streptophyta; Magnoliopsida; Poales; Bromeliaceae. The record is from RNAcentral.
UUAUUUUCCCUUUCCAUAUUUAGUAGUUUAAAUAAUGAAUGAUUCAGUUAGAGGAUCACUAUUAUUGUUUGAAUAUUCGUGAAUUUGUAUGAGUUGAUAUUUUCCUAUUAUGCAUGCAAUCGAAAUUUUAUGAAUAUUGGUUCUUAGAUUUAUGUAUUAAUGCAUUGUGGUUGACUACCCCUCGAGUUAGUCAGUUUUCAAAAAUAGAGUUUCCGAGUGGAAAACAGUUUUAAAAGAUUUUCGAAUGAUUUUUAUGGAUAAUCAAAUAGAGUUUAAAAACAAAGCUUCUGGGUGGGAAGCACUUUUAAAUAGGAUGAUUGUUGUAUCGUGCAUCGCAUCAUCCAGCGCCUAAGAAAUAUUUAGAGGCAUGCAUCAUCUCUAAGGAUCGCUAGCUGUAUGAAAAUACAUUGCAUUAAUUACUUGUGGAUUGGUAAGUGUAGCUUGUGGUUGUGAUCUUGUUGUUGUUAUCGUUGGGUGCGCCGUGCAAAUAGAAGGGAGACUCUAUUCGUGUGAACAGAAGAACUUUAUGUUUGUGGCGGGUCUAUACGCCACAUGGGCCAGGUUGAGUUCAAAAAAAAAUAAUGGCACGUUUUCCGCAACUCUGGUUUCUAAAAUAGUAUUCAUUAUAAAAAGGCUUUUAAAAUCGGCCCUGGGGUGUAACAUAUGCGGAACGCAAUAUUACGUACGGAAACAAAUAGGGUUUUUUUUUCAUCGUACUUUCUCACUGCACAUAACGCAAUCUCUUGGCAAUCCUAAACAAAGCCUCAGUCAAAAGCUCUAUAGUUUUAACCAAAAUCAAUUCUCCAAACCAAAAUUUAUUAUACAAAAAUUAUUUUUUUAGAAUUUAG